This 677-nucleotide ribosomal RNA is filed under the name uncultured bacterium. RNAcentral describes it as "bacterial SSU rRNA". It matches the Rfam family "Bacterial small subunit ribosomal RNA", at positions 823 to 1501 of the family's 1533-position model. The record is from RNAcentral.
UAGGGGUUGUCAUGACCUCUGUGCCGUCGCAAACGCAUUAAGUAUUCCGCCUGGGGAGUACGGUCGCAAGAUUAAAACUCAAAGGAAUUGACGGGGGCCUGCACAAGCAGCGGAGCAUGUGGUUUAAUUCGAAGCAACGCGAAGAACCUUACCUAGACUUGACAUCUCCUGCAUUACCCUUAACCGGGGAAGUCCUUCGGGACAGGAUGACAGGUGGUGCAUGGUUGUCGUCAGCUCGUGUCGUGAGAUGUUGGGUUAAGUCCCGCAACGAGCGCAACCCCUAUUGUUAGUUGCUACCAUUAAGUUGAGCACUCUAGCGAGACUGCCUAGGUUAACUAGGAGGAAGGCGGGGAUGACGUCAAAUCAUCAUGCCCCUUAUGUCUAGGGCUACACACGUGCUACAAUGGAUAGUACAAUAAGACGCAAUAUCGUGAGGUGGAGCAAAUCUUAUAAAACUAUUCUCAGUUCGGAUUGUAGGCUGAAACUCGCCUACAUGAAGUUGGAGUUGCUAGUAAUCGCGAAUCAGAAUGUCGCGGUGAAUACGUUCCCGGGCCUUGUACACACCGCCCGUCACACCAUGAGAGCUGGUAACACCCGAAGUCCGUGACCCAACCCGCAAGGGAGGGAGCGGCCGAAGGUGGGAUUAGUGAUUGGGGUGAAGUCGUAACAAGGUAACC